This 480-nucleotide ribosomal RNA is filed under the name Blastocystis sp. RNAcentral describes it as "SSU rRNA". It matches the Rfam family "Eukaryotic small subunit ribosomal RNA", at positions 460 to 953 of the family's 1831-position model. The record is from RNAcentral. Lineage: Eukaryota; Bigyra; Opalinata; Blastocystidae.
GGAGGUAGUGACAAUAAAUCACAAUGCGGAACUUUUAGUUUUGCAAUUGGAUUGAGAACAAUGUACAAAUGUUAUCGAUAAACAAUUGGAGGGCAAGUCUGGUGCCAGCAGCCGCGGUAAUUCCAGCUCCAAUAGCGUAUAUUAACGUUGUUGCAGUUAAAAAGCUCGUAGUUGAAAUGUGGGAUGAAGUAUAUAAUGAAUUUCUAAUUCAAUUGUAUAUUGAUUCCCCUCUCCAAUUUAUUAUUAUGGGUAUUAAUUUAUUUGUAAUAAGAAUUGGUCAUUUACUGUGAGAAAAUUAGAGUGUUCAAAGCAGGCAUUUGCUUGAAUAGAUUAGCAUGGAAUAAUACUAAAAGGCUUUUAUGGUCGAUUUAAUUUGUUUGUUCAUAAAAGCAAGAUUAAAAGGAACAGUUGGGGGUAUUCAUAUUCAAUAGUUAGAGGUGAAAUUCUCGGAUUUAUGGAAGAUGAACAAGUGCGAAAGCA